This 145-nucleotide ribosomal RNA is filed under the name Candidatus Pelagibacteraceae bacterium. RNAcentral's name for it is "partial 23S ribosomal RNA". It matches the Rfam family "Bacterial large subunit ribosomal RNA", at positions 2769 to 2925 of the family's 2925-position model. The record is from RNAcentral. Lineage: Bacteria; Pseudomonadati; Pseudomonadota; Alphaproteobacteria; Candidatus Pelagibacterales; Candidatus Pelagibacteraceae.
CGCUGAAAGCAUCUAAGUGGGAAACUCGCCUCAAAACUAGUUCUUCCUAUAGAGCCGUGGUAGACUACCACGUUGAUAGGCUGGAUGUGGAAGCGCGGCAACGCGUGUAGCUGACCAGUACUAAUAGCUCAAUUGGCUUGAUUUA